RNA transcript from Biomphalaria glabrata, 10354 nucleotides. RefSeq lists it as uncharacterized. Lineage: Eukaryota; Metazoa; Mollusca; Gastropoda; Planorbidae. The transcript has 4 exons. The record is from RefSeq and is a predicted model, not a curated record.
CCAAAAUGACUUAAAAUCUAAUUCUAGACUCUUAUGUUCUUACAAAGAACUUGGGAUUUUAUUCAAAAAUUGAGCCUUAUUUUUAGACUUUCAAAUGUAAAAGACUUCAUUGUAAAUCAACAUGAUUGAUUAUUUAGAUUUAAGUACACUUCUCAUGGGGCUAACGGCUUUAUUCAAUAGCAGACUUUCACCAAACUGCUUCAACCGAGACCAAUCCUCAUAGAAGGCCGGAACACCGACCUGCGACGUAGCACCAUGUCGUUACGACCUGUGGUGAUCAUGCGGCGACAGGCUAUUGGUCUAAACUGCCCACAGGUUGGCGAUUUCGCAGGUGUGACCAAUCCGACUCGAGAGAAAUCUACAUGGCUCCUAGCAAAACUAGGCGUGAGCUUAAUGUAGAAGCUGCCAAGAAAUCGUACGAAACGAAAAAAAAGGAACGCUCUAAAUUACUAGAGAAAAAUCAAGACUUAGUUGAACAGCAAAAAGAGUUACUACGAGAGAUGGCGAGACUUCAAGAAACGUUCGACAAUUGUCAGCGGGCUUGGGAGUACAUGAUGCAUGCAUGUGACGAGAUGGACUAUGAAGACGUCACUUCCUCUGCUAUUAAUAACUCAGCGUGCAUUGACGUCACUUCCCCUGACAUAGAUAAUUCAGUAUAUAUUGAGGACACUUCCUCUACCACUGACAGCGCCACCUUCAUACCGGAAGAAGAUGAAUUGGCGGGUAGCCGCUUGGAGACAGAGCUAUCAAAUGAGACCAUCGCUCUAGAUUUGUCCCUUAAAACCAGCGCAGCACGGGCUGAUCUGGCUACGUAUUGCCAUAAUGAAUGCACCUUUAUCCAGCGUCCAGUAACUUACGAAGCAAAAGAAGAGGACGGCGCUAGUAUAGAUCUUGGCUCCACUCUUGAUCUCGGAGCCACUCAAGAAGUAGAACAUCGGGUCCGUAAAAGGACAAAAAGGGUGACUUUUGCAGACGACAGUAAUGUUAAGAAAUAUAAAAGUGACCUCUUUACUCCAAAGAUGUGCCAAAGUGUAAACUGUUGAUUUAAUUACAAACAGGUAUCAGUGUCGUAACAGCAUUUUUUUACGACGUUUUGUAAACUCACCAAUAAAGGCGUGAGCUAUCUAAUUACUCUAAGGCUAAUUAUCUCGAUCAUCCCGUGUCGAUCUAAUCACUGGCCUGUCAAGUUAUCAUUGUGGCAGCAUUAUUGACGCGAAGUAAAGAAUAGCACAGUUGGCAGCACCAGGUAGUUUUUAUUUGUUCUAUUGGUGGGGUAAUGUCUACCCAAAGGCAAGAAUGGCAGCAUCAACUAAGAGCUCAAUUGAUUUUUUUUAAAACUUGAUUGGCAUAACCAGUCUUUAAUUCAGCAGCGCUGUGACCCUACCGCAGUCUGUGUCAUUAGUGGCAGCCUUCAAUGAUUCAUUUGGAUUGGAUUUUUAUUCCGCCUCACCAAGUUCAGUUAAAUAAAGGGAUGUGUUCUAUACGUUAUUAGAUAGAUUUUCAUUUGUACAUAGCUUGUAUCAACUCCUCUGUCUGUCUGUCUGUCUGGUAAAAUGUUUGUACACGUUAUUUUUCCCCACACCCAUUCGCGGAUCAGGUUGAAACUUUGCACAAUUAUUCAUUGGCAUAGACGGGAUGAGUAAAAAAAAAAAUUUGUUAAUUAGUCAAAUAAUUAUUGGUAAUUAAUUUAUUUUGUGUGAUAACAACAAGGGAGAUUAAUCCAUCAUUAUUCAUAUAUAUGGCUAAAUAUGUAGGGUUCGGUCCCCUUAGAUAAUCGUACUCAUUAUUUCUGCCACAUCCAUUUUUGGAUCAAGUUGAAGCCUUAAACAAUUAUUUAUUGUACCUAACAAAACAUGGAUCGAUUAAAAAAAUUAACCAAUUUGUCAAUUAAUUAUUGGUAAUUCAUUAUUUUGUUUGAGAUCGAAUGCAGUAAUUAACUUCUACAUUAUGGAGAGAUCGUUGUAAUUGCGGAGUUCUUCUCCUUAAAUAAGCUUUUUUUUUUUUUUUAACAGGAUUUUUAUAUUUUGCUUGUUUUUCAAUUGGAGUACAUUGAAUGUAAAGUUGGCAGUAACAAUCUGCAUUAUUUUGUUGACAAAUGGGGCGUUUUUGCCUCUUAGGUAUAUGUUUGAUUCAAGUGUUCUUCAUAUGCGUUCUUCGUUUUGAAAAAUUUUCCUAUUAGACCUGUGUUCCAGGUUUAAUACGAUGGUGGUCAUUCUCUGCUGUGUAUGUGUUUUACCAAAUUUUUAGACCCUUUCUCUUAAUCCCUAGAGGCCUACCAGGCUGAUGGCUGCCUGGUCGUGAGGUUUGCGCGCUGGACUGUCGUUCUGAUUUAUCGAUGGUCGAGGGUUUAAAUCCUGCCCGCUCCCAUCUCCCGUCGUCCUGCGGGAGGCUUGGACUAGGAAGUUGAUUUCUGCAUUGUCCGUUGAAAGACUCAAGGUUUUUCUUACAUUUAUUUUGGCAAGAUUCUGUUAUUUGUAGCAUUUCUGACUCUACAGAUUCUGCCCUUUUUUAUUUUUUUAAUUUGUUGUUAUACUAUUAAGCGCAUAUGCAUAUGUGUAUGUGUGUAUUUGCGUGCAUGCCUUGUGUGUAGUUUUUUUUUGUUUGUUUUUGACAAAGAAAUGAUUUACAUUUGUUAAAAAUCACCACUGAAUAGUUAUAUUUGUUAAAAUUGACCAUUGAAUAUUUAUGUUUGUUUAAAGUGACUAUUGAAUUGUCUACUUAUGUCUGUUAAAACUAUUGAAUACUUAUAUUUGUUGAAACUAUUGAAUACUUAUAUUUCUUAACAAACUAAUACCAUUGAAUACUUGUAACCUUUUUUUUUUUUUAACAAGCUGAUAUUUCAAAACGUAUGUUCUAACUACGAAGACGCCACGUAGAUCUUGGUACAAACAGUAGCAGAACGAGAAAUCGGGGUCCCCUUCUAAGUACUAAGUUAUGACCCUGGGCACCCCUUGGCCUAGAAAGUUCCAAUGUGCCAUAAGCCAUCAGCCACAUUUUAUUGUGGUACAGACUGUGAUUUAUGUAAAAACAAUAUAAAGUAUGCAGUGUCAUUCUUAAUUAUUGUGAACAUUGCCAAUUUAUUGUAUUGUUGCUAUGAAUAACUUAACUAUGCAUAAGACUUAAUUGACUAUCACUAUAGUAACAGAAGUAACACUAAAGUGGUCUUUUCCUUUCUAAAGAAGUGCAAAGCCUUUUUUUUUUUUUCAUUGCUGACAAAUCUCAUCUGUCCCUUAACUUUCGUCGUAGGGGUGCUGUGACAGUUCGUCGUAGGGGUGCUGUGACAGUUCGUCGUAGGGGUGCUGUGACAGUUCGUCGUAAGGGUGCUGUGACAGUUCGUCGUAGGGGUGCUGUGACAGUUUGCGUAACCCAAUCUCUUCACUUGUCCUGGCAAGCAGCUAUUCUAGGAUACCGGUAGAGAGGCCGGUCCAUUUUUUUUACAUUGUCCAGUCAUUGUCCAGUCAUUGUCCAGUCAUUGUCCAGUCAUUGUCCAGUCACAGUGGCGUAGCUAGAGAGGGGGGGGGGAAUCUGAAAAUCCCUCACCCAAAUGAGUAUUCGAAAUUUUUUUUUUUUACAUUAAAUAAUACACAAAAACCAGGGGCCCCCCAAAAAAAGGUCAAGCCCCCCCCCCCCAUGGCCCCCAAAUGAUGGCAAAUUCCUAGCUAUGCCACUUUCCAGUCAGCUUUUCUUUGGAUGGCCCUUUCUUUGUGCUCCCUGCAUGUACAUAAGCACCACUCAAAUGUCCCCAUUCUUUCAAAAGGCAACUCUGAGGAGGUAACUAUUGUUUACGUCGUAACCACCAUUGUUUUCCAUUUGUUUUCUGGGCAAUAAAUGUCUUUUAACUUUGAUUGCUUUACUUGCGAGUUGCCCUAUUGUAAUGGCCUACCACACAAAUGAAAGCAAUUUUAUUUCUCUCUACUGUCUACUGGUAUAACUCUAAUCUGAUGACCUACUUGAGUGCAAUUUUCAUGUGACAAAAAGUUUACUUGCUUAUUUACAUAAGUGGCCCUAAUGUCGACCUGCUAUAGGCCAUGUUUAAAUUGACCUUUUUUUUUUACAUACUUGGCGCUAAAUUGGCCUGCCAUUCGCAUUAGUAACGAUACAUUUGACCGGCUAUUUAUAUAAAGGACGCUAAAUUAACAGUUAUUUACAUAUAGAACACUUUAGUUGACUUGCUUUUUACAUAUGUUGACCAGCUCUUUAUAUUAGUGACGCUAAAUUUGAAGGGACACUAAAUUUGUCCUUAUUAUUUAGAAAAUCGCAAACCUCUCAAUGUACAUGACAAAUCUAUUUGUACAAAUGUUUUUUAUUUACAUAUAAAUGUUAUAAAUGUUAUGUUAUGAUCAGUUCUAUGCACAUCUGCCAUAUGUAUGUGAUAAUGCAGCAAAUAGUUGGCAUUCAUUGACCGCCAUGUUUUUACACUAUUUAACGAUAAUGAAGCCAACGUGUAUGUUUUUCUUUGAAGAACAUAAUCAACUGUUCUGUAAACUGUAAACUGUCUAGAAUCUAAAGCUCAUCUGUUGCGUGGGCACGGAUUUAUAACUCAUGUUUCAUUUCGAUCACUCACCAUGAUUGUUAGAUCACAAUUUAAUUAAUGAAGUCUGGAUUAAUUUAUAAGUAAUGAGAGAACAUAUAAUAGAAUACAAAAAUAAGCUGGUCUGUUGUCUUAAUGUCUAUAAUGUAGAAACAACACUCAGGUAGAAAGAGGUGGGAGUUAAAAAAAAAACAACAACCCAACUAUUUGGCAAAAGGGGGCGGGAAAAAAGUGAUAGGUUUUUAAUGCUGCAUUUUUUUAAAAUUAAAUAUAUUAAGCCUUAAAAAAAAACUUGAGUCAAUCAUUUGGAAUUUAUUUAAAAGUAGGGUUAUAUAUAUUUAUAUAAAAUUUUUACCUUUACCUAUCCCUUAGUCUGUUGGACCGUUGGGGCACCAAGCAAGACUCGUCGACCGUCUUUCUCCAUUCCUCCCUGUCUUUUGCCUUGUUUAGAACCUCUUUCAAUGGUAGGCCCGUCCAUUCUUUUAUGCUGCCCUCCCAUCGCUUUCUGUCUGUCUCUUCUUCCUUUUCCUGGUACUGUUCCCUGAAGGAAGGUCUUUGCGAGCCCCGAAGAUCUUGUAAUAUGGCCAAAGAUUUUAAGCUUGCGUUUUUUAUUUUUUACGAUGCAGGUCAUCAUGGGGUCCGAUCGCUGCAGUCUCUAAUCUCUUGGUUUGUGGUGCGGCUAUUUUAUAUCCCGCUGCGGGGAAGAAGAGGAAACCGUGCCUCAUAUUCUGGGAAAGCAAAAGUUCUCGACCUGUAUGGUGACGUGUAUGCACUACGCAAGACAGCAGGGUUUCUGUCCAGGGCUUUUGCAAGAGAGGAUUUAAGCCUCUCAAGCCCUCACUCCAAUGGAGUUUGAUGAUGAUGGUGAUGAUAUAGAAUAGCCAGAUCCAAGCUGAGAGUGGAACCAACAGGCUUGGCUUUGAAGAUGUUCAAAUCAUUUUGAUCUCAAUUCGCAGUGCCGUAUAAAGAAACAGCCGUGUUAAGAGCAAGAGACGUGUGGACGUAGCGAACGUCCGUGUUCUAAUAUGAAGUGCGCUAUAUUUAGUUGCACACCCUUCAUACUGAGUGAACUGUUAGACAGCAGAGAACACGCUAAGUGGUAUAUAUAUAUAUAUAUAUAUAUAUAUAUACAUCCAUCCAUCCAUCCAUCCCAGUGGCGCUACAGCCCAUGGAGGGCUCUGGCCUGCUUUAACACAUCCUUCCAUUCAGAUCUCUCCUGGGCCUUUCGUCUCCAUGCCCUAACCCCAAGCUGCUUCAGAUCUGCUUCCACAUCAUCUAUCCAUCGCAUUCGGGUUCUGCCUUUGGGUCGCCUGCCUUUUGGUUUUUGCAUAUAUAUAUAUACAUAUAUAUAGGCCUCCUACUGUCGUAGAACGACUAUGAUUCAUCUCGAACACUUUUUCAUAUGGCUGUGGAGCCCCAUUUUGGAGAGGCACUUCCGUCCACAGAUAUUGCAGGUCAAGGUGGCCUCCGCUUAGGUCAGGGGUUCUCAACCUGUGGGUCGCGACCUCCUUGGGGGGUCGAUUGACGAUUUGCCAGGGGUCGCUUAAGACCAUCGAAAAUAUGGAUUGUUAUUGUCUACUCUUCUAUUUCUGUAUGUGUGUGUUGGAGGGGGGGGGGGGGUCGCGACCCCCUUGGGGGUCGAUUGACGAUUUGCCAGGGGUCGCUUAAGACCAUCGAAAAUAUGGAUAGUUAUUGUCUACUCUUCUAUUGUAUGUGUGUGUUGGACGGGAGGGGGGGGUCGCGGCAGAGUAGGGGAUUGUAAAAAGGGGUCGCCGAGCUUAAAAGGUUGAGAACCGCUGGCUUAGGUGGUAGAGGAGCCCGCUUUCAAGUGGUAGAUACAGAAAUGAAUAGACACGUCCCUCGCUACUUGUCAACAAUGAAUAAAUACAAUGCUGUAACGAAAGCUUAGGGAUUAAAAUAACAAAGGGGGAGAUAAGUAGGCCAACAAUCAUGGAAGGCAGAAUGGUGGUUUGAAGUAAACUUUCUAGGAAGUCAAGCCUUCCUAUAUUUGUAAAUACGAGUUAACCCAGUUUAUUUAAGCGCCAUUUUUAGUAUAAUAAAUAAUAUGCAAGCAAAGUUUUUUAUUUUAAAAUUGGCUUUAAUAUAUAUAUAUACCAUGGCUAUUGAUCUAUAAUGUGAUAAUAAAAUGGGUCAUAUAUAUAUAUAUACAUGUAUAUAUACCUAGGUCAAUCAAUCACUCAAUCAGGGCCCUUCUAAAUAUAAUAGGCCUAUAAAUAGAGUUAUGUCCAUACACUGGGGCUAAAUAUAUGGAGCCUUUUUUGUUAUAGUUUGAUACUCAAUACAAGAACACAAUGAAGAUACCUGAACAUAGUCUGUAAAUAUUUUCAAUUUUAUUGUAAGCCUAUUAAUUAUACAUUUAUAGAAACUUCUUUUAGAUUAUAUUGUUAGAAGUUGUUUGUUUUUUAGAGUAGAGUAGAUUAUAAAAAGUAAUGGGCAAGACUCGACCUAAAUAUAGUGCCCAAGCGCAGUUCUGCCCUACGAUUAGAUCUGCGAUUGGACUCGUUCAUCAAUCGUAAGCAAACACCCUUGAGGUGCUUCCCUAUCUAUUCUAUUCAGCUUACGACGUAAUUUGAAUCAAACACGGUUAUCACGUGACCGUUCCUUUCGGUGGAGGAGGGUUAACGUAUUUUAGACUUCGUGAAUUUAUUUCAUUCGACAGCAGGCAGGAUACACAGGUCAAAGGUAGACAUUUUUUUUAAAUAUAUAAUUAAAAAAAAGCUGGUGACUAGGCCCCAAUCGUUUAAAACGACCCAGCCUAAAAAAUAUCCUUUUAUCUUUGAUUUGAGUUUGAUGCUAAGAUUGCGACAAUGAGUGUGUGAAAGCGCACUCUGGUCAUUUUUCUGCUAAUAAGACUUGUCUGUAAGAUUUCUACAAUUUUUGAUCUAACUAGGACACUUAUUAUAGAAUGAAAUGGGUUUCCUGAAUCAGCCAGAAAAAAAAACAUCGACUUAGCAGGGUUGAAGUCGUUGAUUAACAUGCAUGAUUAGAUUGACACAUGAAAUGCGUAGGACGUAAUUAUCUUCUUUUUUGAAGUAACGUCUGUAAUUGAUAAGAUAAAAAGAUUAGAAGCGAUGUCAGCCAUAUAAAUUUUUUUCAGUUCUCCGGAAGUGGUAAACAAAAAGAGAAUGAUCGCAAAAAAAUUCUGGAGAUCAAAUAUUUGUUCAGGUUUAGAAGCAAUCUGAACCACUGUUGAUUAUAAGUAGUCUAGAGUAGAUUUAGUCCCAAAUCAUAAAUCUAGAAGUUUCACAAAUCUGCACAUGUAAUACUUAGGGUUACCAGACAUCAACAAAAGAAGGUCAUGUCCUCCUUUUCGGGGUCAUGCUGUUCGUCACGCAGGCAUAGGCAUACAGUGAAAAAUGUCCGGCCUUUACUCUUGUUUAUUACAAAUGCAUUUUAUCUAUCAAUCGAAAUCAGCUUUUUAAAUCCUCGGUCGAAAAACACUCACUCAUACAUAGCAGAAAGGUGGCAAGAUUGAACGAAUCUUUGUAGGAACAGAUUUAUUUCAAAUGACCACACGAAACUAGUUGAGACAUAUAUUUGACCACAUCUAAUGCAGAUAUACCUGUUGUCUUCUUAAGGGGCCCUUCUUUGGGUCUCAAAAUUGUGUUCCGUGACCUUUGUAAGAGCUCCUCGCAGUACAAAAUAUAUAAGGUAAAUUGCGUGUCUUGUGAGAGGAGAUAUUAUGUAGAAAUAUAAGUCUGCGUAUUUAUGCAAAUUCGUUUUUUUAAAUGAAUAUAAGAGAGAGUGAGAGUAUCGAAAGAGAUGAUUUUGCUCUAAAUGUUGAUAUAUGUUGGCGUUUUAAGAAAAACCUUUACUAUUUUAUUAAUAAAUGUUAAUGGUCCAUUAUUGUGUUUUGAAGCCUUAUAAAUGAAUCAAAUGUUGAUGUUCAUUGUAUAUUUUCCUUAACUUAUAAAGUCACUUGAUACAUUCCUUAUAGACUGAUUACUCAAAGAACUAAGCAAUGAGCUAGCCCCAGUGUUUAAAUACUUUUUCAGGCAUCUCUUAACCAGGGCGGAGUACCGAGGGACUAGAAAGAAGCUAAUGUCACCCCUCCCUAUUUAAAAAAGGAGAAAAAUCUGACCGAGGAAACUACAGACCAGUAUCACUUACCAGCAUAAUAUGUAAAAUCCUAGAACACAUAAUAUGUAGUAACAUUAUAAACCACUUAGACAAACAUAAUGUCCUUACUCCAUACCAACAUGGCUUUAGGAAAUAUAAAUCAUGUGAAAUACAACUAAUAGGACUGAUUGAUAAUUUUUCAAAAAGUUAAGAUGAUAGUGAGCAAAUAGAUGCUAUCUUAUUAGAUUUUUCCAAAGCUUUUGACAAAGUUCACCACCAUAGUUUAAUUAAAAAAUUAAAAUAUUAUGGCAUUGAUGGUCCAUUGCAUCAGUGGAUUAAAGAUUUUCUGAUAGGGAGAGAACAAACUGUAAUAAUAAAUGGCUCUAAAUCAACACCAAUAACAGUAAACUCAGGUGUACCCCAAGGAACAGUCUUAGGUCCAAUACUAUUUUUAAUUUACAUAAAUAAUUUACCAAAUUGCAUUAGUUCAGGAACAAAUGUCAGAUUAUUUGCAGACGAUUGCAUAAUAUAUAGAGCAAUAAAAACAAAACAAGAUUCGGAAAUUUUACAAAGAGAAUUAGAUGAAUUACAGAAAUGGGAAUCAAAUUAGAGCAUGUCUUUCCACAUAGAAAAAUGUCAGUUUUUAAGAAUAACAAAAAACUAAAACUAUCUUACCACUUAUCUUAUUCAUGGUUAAACAGUAACACAGACUAAAAACGCAAAAUACCUAGGUGUUAUAAUAAAUGAAAAACUGUCAUGGAAUCCACAUAUUGAUGAAACUAUCAAAAAAACAAACCAAAGCAUUAGGUUUUAUUAAAAGAAAUGUCUAUAAAUCAAACAAGAACAUAAGACUAAAAUGUUAUUUAAUCUUAGUUAGGCCAAUAAUAGAAUAUGCAUCCUCUGUUUGGGACCCCUCAUCUCAAGAAAACAUUAAGAAACUGGAACAGACAGAAAAUAGAGCAGUGAGAUUCAUAACAAACCAAUAUUCACAUUUGACUUCAAUAACACCUUUAGUAAAAUCACUAAAUUUAGAAAGCCAUCAGGUUAGAAGACUCAAAAGUAAAGUAGCAAUUAUACAUAAAACACUGAACCAUAAUCUUCAAGUACAAAAACAAAAUCUAAUAAAAUACUCAGAAAGACACAAAGAUAAAGGCACUUUCCUCGUUCCAUAUGCUAGGACAAAUUUUUACAAAUGCUCCUUCUUCCCUAGCUCUAUUAGAGCACGGAAUGGGUUGUCUGAGCUAGCCAGGAAAACCAGUGACUUGGCAGAAUUUAAGUCAUUGGUUAAUAGGCAUGACUAAAUGCAUGACGCGUAGGACGUAAUCAUCUUCUUUUUUGAAGUAACGUCUGUAUAAGAUAAGAUGACUUGAUACAUUAUUUGUUUACACUCAGUGCAACUAAAAACCUUUUUGAAGAACUUUAUGAGAUUUCGAAGUUACUACUAAUGUGAAAUGUCAAAACAUCGGGGGGGGGGGGGGGCGGGAAUACAGAAUGUGUUGAAAUAUAGAACAUAAUGAUUAGUUAGUAUUAAUAUUAUUUUGUUAAUUGUUUUUGUUAAUAUGUGACUAAAAGGUAAUCAUCAGACUGAUCAGAGAUAUAAAAUAUAUUACUAGAACUUGUAUGAAAGAUGUUAAGUCUUUUUUUUUUAUCUUCAGGUAAUAAUUAUGUAACGCAUACAAUAUACUCAAAGACUUAACUUUGUUUACUGUUUCAUUUCCAAAUAAAGCCAUUGUUUUAAAGCUG